RNAcentral lists this long non-coding RNA (680 nucleotides) under Struthio camelus australis. Its description in RNAcentral is "lncRNA (ENSSCUG00000003040.1)". The record is from RNAcentral. Lineage: Eukaryota; Metazoa; Chordata; Aves; Struthioniformes; Struthionidae.
AUGCCUGAAACUGUUUUCCCCCCACAGGAAAGGAUUUCACACUCUUCGACGGGGAGUAAGCAUUUGAGCUCCAGCCCCUGCCCUCCCCCAGCCGAUCUGCUGCCAGGAGCAGGCGCAUUGCACAAGGAGGCAUUAAAAAGCUGUCUGUGGGUGCAUUACCCACUGAGUUAUAAGGCGUCCCUCCCUAUGUUCCUGCUGGACUGCAUUAAUGAGAUGAAUGACUUCCUUCUUUCUGAGAGAGAAGAAAUACCAGGCGGGACCCCCCUGCAGGUGGAAGAGCAGCAUCACAACCAGUGCAGCAAGAAUUCCUUUUUCCUCUUCACAACACACUGUGAAAUGCUCAAAAAGAUCCCAAACAAAACAAAACUAAGAAAACCAAAAGGGCCAAAUACUUCUAGAGACUGGAAGCAGAAUGGAUACAGUGGCAUCCAUCCCCCCAAGUCGGGGUGACUCAGGGGGGUUCCCCCUCAGCUUAUGUCGGCCAUGAUCAAGAGCACUUCCCCGUCAGAGCUGCCGGUAUCCUCGACGUGAUAAAGCAGCAAGCCCCUUCCCCUUCUGUCAAGGAAAUGUCUGCGUUACAAGACGAUAACAAGAAAGACAGAAGACUGAACCCACACUGACAAAUGCUACUCAUGUUAUGCUGUAAUAAAUUGUGUGGUAAGAAAAUAUGACUAGUAAAA